UAUAUUUUUGCUACUGUUGGCCACUUGUCGCACCAUUGCGUACACAUUGCUUUUGGCUUGACGCCCAAUUUCUGUUUGUGACAGUUGCGCUCUAGCAGCCGUUAUUAUUGUUGUUGCGCUCCUGAGUUUUGCAUGACAUUUGGUUGUAGCAGCAUCAACCACAUAAACAGCCACAGUAGCAGCGCUGAAGCGGCAGCGGCAGCGAAUGUUUUGUGAGUAGCGCAAACAAACUCUCUUUGUCAUGUGCUGUUAUACUCUGAGAGCGCAAACACCACCAAUGCAUGUAUGCAUGUUUGUGCAAAUACAAGUAGGGAAAUGUGCAAGUGUAUGCGACUUUUUUAGGGGUUGGUGACUGUUUGCUUUUGCCAUUGCCUUUGCCUUUGCCUUUGCUUUUGACUGUGUCUCUUCUGCUUGUUCUUUUAUUAUAUUAAACGAUUUUUUUAACCGUCCGUUGAUGUGCCGUCUUCUUUGCUACACUCAUUCAUGUUGUUGCCAACAGUCAGUGACUUGUGCAAGAAAAACAUCAAAAACUAUAGGAAACUCAGCAACAGCAGCUAGAGUGUCGGCAGCCACUUGCCACCAAUUCGGUCAACUGUCUGAGCGCUGGCUCGCAUGUACGUCCAACGCCACAUCCGCUCCGACCGACCGUCCGUCCGUCCAUUCAUCCAGCCAUCCAUCUAUACGUCCAUCUGUGCGACUGUCUAGCUGGCAUGCGGCAGCCAAGUUGAAUAGAAUUACGCUGAGCUGUUUCGUUUCGUUUUGGCCAACUGUUGUGCGCUCCUUGCCGUGUUGUGCUUCCGUUCGUCGAUUGUGCUCUGAUAGCGUUUGUGGCAGCCGCCAGCCAACAACAGGCAGCCAGUCAGCCAACCAACCAACCAGCCAACCAUCUCGUCAAGUGGAUUUCAUUUCAGUUUCAUUUCAAACGUCGUGCGGUGUUGAAGUGUGUCGCGGCGCGUCUCUUCCGCUUCUUCGAGUUGAAUUUCAUUUUAAACGCGUCCGUUUUCAAUUCAUAUAAACCUACAUACACAUACACACUCUCAUAAAUAUUUGAAAAAAGUUUUGAUGACAACAAUGAAUUUGUGCGCCCGUGUACAACAGCCGGAAAACGUUGCGGUCUAAAAGGAAGCGAGUAGCAGCAAUAAAAACAUAAUCCAUCACUUGGAGAUAUGAAAAUGUGCACCUACCAAAGAAUAUAAUAAAAAACUACAACAUAUUUUUCUCAUUCUUGCAAAGUAAAAAAAUAUUAAAUAAAAAUAUAUAAAAAACUAAAAAUAAUACAAAAAAAAAUAAGAAGUAGAUAUGUAAAGUGCGUAAAAAGAAGGUUAAAAAAUAUACAUAGAAAAAGUUGUUAUCAAUGCGACGGCAAUUUUCAAUACCAAAGAAUAAAUAAAAAGUUGAAUAAAAUUUCAAUAACUUCAUCGAAACUGGCACACGUUUAACACACAUACACAUACAUACACACACAAGCAGGCAGAUACAUUUUAGUAUAUGUAAACUUGCAGCUAAUCGAAAAUAAAUAAAACAUCAUCGCUUGAUUCACGGAGCACAAUCAAAAAAGGUCACAUCCACAAACGAAUUGACAGACAAAAACACAAAUAUUUCAUAAACAAAAAAUAACAUACACAAAAAAAAAACACAUACACACUUACAAAACGCCG
Molecule: long non-coding RNA, 1658 nt
Organism: Anastrepha ludens (Mexican fruit fly)
Lineage: Eukaryota; Metazoa; Arthropoda; Insecta; Diptera; Tephritidae
Exons: 2
Source: RefSeq, a predicted model, not a curated record